Molecule: ribosomal RNA, 446 nt
Filed under: Colletotrichum gloeosporioides
Lineage: Eukaryota; Fungi; Ascomycota; Sordariomycetes; Glomerellales; Glomerellaceae
Description: eukaryotic LSU rRNA
Rfam family: 5.8S ribosomal RNA (bases 70-223)
Source: RNAcentral
CGGGCGCCACGGGAGUACCAAACUCUGAUUUAACGACGUUUCUUCUGAGUGGUACAAGCAAAUAAUCAAAACUUUUAACAACGGAUCUCUUGGUUCUGGCAUCGAUGAAGAACGCAGCGAAAUGCGAUAAGUAAUGUGAAUUGCAGAAUUCAGUGAAUCAUCGAAUCUUUGAACGCACAUUGCGCCCGCCAGCAUUCUGGCGGGCAUGCCUGUUCGAGCGUCAUUUCAACCCUCAAGCUCUGCUUGGUGUUGGGGCCCUACAGCUGAUGUAGGCCCUCAAAGGUAGUGGCGGACCCUCCCGGAGCCUCCUUUGCGUAGUAACUUUACGUCUCGCACUGGGAUCCGGAGGGACUCUUGCCGUAAAACCCCCCAAUUUUCCAAAGGUUGACCUCGAAUCAGGUAGGAAUACCCGCUAAACUUAACCAUAUCAAAGGGGGGGAAGAAAA